GAGUUUGAUCGUGGCUCAGGAUGAACGCUGGCGGCGUGCCUAAUACAUGCAAGUCGAGCGAACGGACGAGAAGCUUGCUUCUCUGAUGUUAGCGGCGGACGGGUGAGUAACACGUGGAUAACCUACCUAUAAGACUGGGAUAACUUCGGGAAACCGGAGCUAAUACCGGAUAAUAUUUUGAACCGCAUGGUUCAAAAGUAAAAGACGGUCUUGCUGUCACUUAUAGAUGGAUCCGCGCUGCAUUAGCUAGUUGGUAAGGUAACGGCUUACCAAGGCAACGAUGCAUAGCCGACCUGAGAGGGUGAUCGGCCACACUGGAACUGAGACACGGUCCAGACUCCUACGGGAGGCAGCAGUAGGGAAUCUUCCGCAAUGGGCGAAAGCCUGACGGAGCAACGCCGCGUGAGUGAUGAAGGUCUUCGGAUCGUAAAACUCUGUUAUUAGGGAAGAACAUAUGUGUAAGUAACUGUGCACAUCUUGACGGUACCUAAUCAGAAGCCACGGCUAACUACGUG
This 515-nucleotide ribosomal RNA is filed under the name uncultured microorganism. RNAcentral's name for it is "bacterial SSU rRNA". It matches the Rfam family "Bacterial small subunit ribosomal RNA", at positions 9 to 507 of the family's 1533-position model. The record is from RNAcentral.